Molecule: long non-coding RNA, 3291 nt
Organism: Lolium rigidum
Lineage: Eukaryota; Viridiplantae; Streptophyta; Magnoliopsida; Poales; Poaceae
Exons: 4
Source: RefSeq, a predicted model, not a curated record
GCAGGUUCAGGGGGGGACGAGCGGCUCUGGCCUGUUGGGCAGCGCUGACUUUUUCAUCGAUCUGGUGGCGGCGAGUUUGAUUUGACAGAAAAUCGCGCAUACCGAACCCUCCUCCAAGGCUCCAAUUGAUAUGUGUUAGACAACCAGAGAAACCAUGUUUCUCCCGUUUAUGUUGGCCUCUCAGUGUGUGUUGUUUUUAUCUAGGAAAAGUGAGAAAAGCAUACACGUCGAUUCAUUACUUCAUCGGCUGCCUCCACCUGUUCUACAGAGUUGGACAAUGAAUUGCAAUACCGGACCCUCAACCAUGCAGCGCCACUGAUUGAGCUUUCCGUGCACUGGACUAUCCAGCUUUUGGUUGAGAGUCGGGGACAUUCAGAGUUAAGUUGCCGUGCUUGCUCUGCACAAGUGCUCUUGCAUUGGCUUGAUCUCAUCAGGUUACUACACAACAACUUAACGCUGUCCUGAUUUCCAGUGGCCUCUAUGCUCUAAGGUGACAUAUGUGCAAACUAAAGAAUAGUUUUAGCCUUUUAGGGAAUCGACCUCUCAAUAUGAAGCCCCAGCGACAAAGUAUGUCUGGUCAGGUCAGGUAUCUAAUCAAUUAGUCAAGUAGAGUAGAAAAAAUUCACAAGAGCAUUAAGCCCUGUGUUUAAUUUAACAUAAGCUUUUUAGUUGAACUAGAUGCCUAGGCUAAUCAUAUUUACGCACCACAUGACCACAUAUUCUUAUGGCAAUGCUACACCUGAAGCACAUACCGGCCGGUAUGCAAGAAAAUAUUGCAAUGCUCUCAGCUCAUGUUUUCUUGGGUGAAAUUAGAUUCUAGCACUGGGAGAUCAAACGGUAUUUUCUCAACCAAGAACCUUCAGGUUAUUCUGUAUAAUCUUUAUAGAUAACAAACUUUAUUGCUUAUUGCAGUAAUGUUCUUAUUAGAAAAAUGACAUACCCUUAGAUUUAUAAUCGGUAAUUCUGUAUUAAUGUGAUCCAUUACGCUAAACAACGAAGGACUUCUGCUACUGUAUCGAUUUAUGUUCAACACUAGGGAGCCCAUCUGAAUAUAUACAUAAUAUUAUGGCUAUCAAUUUGUUCAUGGGAAAAAUUAUGGCUGAGAGACCUUCUGUAUAUUAGGUCAAGAUACUAACCUGCCACUAUCCUAAAAGGGAAAAUAUAAUACUAAAAUGACCUUGAGGCUCCCUGGAUGUUCCCUGAGUGUUGUUUGAUCCACGUCCUCUUCUUGCGGUGUGUUGCUCUGAGGUUUAAUUUUACCGAGGAUUUCUUACUUUUAACCUUUUCUUAUCAGGUAAACGAAUACAAACAAUUACUAGGGUUAGACGCUAAGUGAAAUAAUGGAUCUUCCUACCUCUUGAACACAAAAUAUACUUUUCUCUGCCUCAUAUUGUAGUACACAACAAGCAUCAGUCAUGACUCAUGAAGUUGGAUCAAGAGUUCACAAGGGACACAACUAUUUGUAGAACCAUUGGAAUAAUCAUUACAGGUUCCUUUUAGUUUUCACCCUUGCAAAUCAUCCAUUUAUUCUUAGAAAAGAACAAUAAUCAUAUCAUUCUUCUAAACUGUAUAGUGGGUUAGCUGUGGCUCCUCUGAGCUUAUUUUCCAUUCUCUCUGCACUGGCUUUUGGUCCCCGUUGUGUUUGCUGGUCGUGUGUGUUGCAGCUGGCGUUUCAUUUACAGUAGCAACUGCAACUGAUCGUUGUCCGAAACGGCAUUGGUUGGAAUCCAUGGAGACUUGCGACUGCCAUGUAUGAAGCGGACUUGGGCUGGUCAGCAAUGCUGCUGCCGAUUGCUUAUUUCUGGUCUACCAAUGCAUUUAAAAAUAAUAUUGCUGGGGCAUCGAUAUAGUCUUUGCAUUAAUCAUUAUGGUCUCGACUGUGCAUUUCAGUUGUUCUGGAAAAGGUCAGUGUUGCUGUGUGUGCGUGUCUGGGUUCUUCCUUUGAUUUGCUUGUACUGCAGACGCUCACGGUGAACAGUUAUGACUGCAAUAAUUUGUGUUUGCUUGAUUGGAUUUCACUUUUUACUUGAAUGCAGAUAUACAAUGGUUGUGUACUUGGUGAUGUGUAGCAAUGCCCGACGGAAAAUAUUAAACAUACAAAUUCAAGAAGCACAUCUGAGAAGGUAGAUAUGGCCGGGAAGAUUUCGUCUUGACGCUUCUACUGAUGAAGGUCUUGCCUCAGCGGGUGACGUUCUGGAGUCAUUCAUUGAGGGUGGUGAUUUACUUCUUGGUGGCGGCCACUCCUACCAUUUUGGCCGGGGUUUGCUGUUUCCUAAUGGCCGGGGUGACUGGGUGGGGCUGGAUCGCCGGUUGGUGCUGUUGUGUUUCAGAGUGGCUAUGUGGCUUCAGAGCUGAAGAGUCUAGGUAUGUGGGACGUUUUAUGAAUUAGUUUGAUCAAGUGGAGACAAGGGUGGCAAAACGACCUCUAUGUAAUGGCACACACAAAAAAAGUUAUGUAUAUCUAAACAGGUGGAUAAUUUGAUGAGAAAAUUACAAGCUUCAGUGUGGACUAUGGGCGAAACUGUCAAUUGUGAAGCCCACGAUUCCUUCAAAUAUUCACAGUUCUGGUGACUUUUGAUUAUUGUACAACUGGAGGUUUCCUAUAACUUUCCCUAUCCGCUGCCAUUACAGAGAUUAAGUAACUUUGUUUUGCCAAAUACAGUUGAGUGGUGAACUGAUAUUUCGUAUUUGUUUGCACGUGAGUUUCUGAGAUUGUUCAUAGACUCUAAUUGGUAAUUGAAAUUUUAGUCAUUGUUUGAAUUUUGGUCAGAAUAUUUUUUUUGUGAGAACAGAAAUGUGAGUAAUCUUAGGAUGUUAGUGAUACUCAUCUUAUUGAUUAGCAGGCCAUACAAAUUUUCUAUGCCCGCUUCUCACUGAUCAGAUCUGAAACAGUGUAACCCAACCUUGCAUCCAAGUAUCCAACCAUGGUGUCUAAUACACCACAACGAUGACAGCAAAAGAAUGCAUUCUACCCUGUUAUGGGCAAAAUCUGAGACCGUCCAUCCUUUCAUCACAUAUGUAAGGUAUGUGAGAAAUCUGAAACCGUCCAUACUUUCAUCACAUAUGUAGAGGCGUGUGAGAAUGUGAGGCAGGCCGCGCGGCGAAGCGCGCCCGGCCAUCUAGUAAGAAUUUAAUUACCAUUGCAUGACUACCAAGUGCAAAAUAUUAGUGAUGGUACUUAUAAUCAGUAUAUUUAUUUUGUAAUUUUAGCUUGAAAUAAUUUUGCAUUGUUCAGGUUUCAUUCCUAUUCAAACUCAUUGCAUUUUUACUAUGCAAUGGCUUAUUUCAUUU